RNAcentral lists this ribosomal RNA (331 nucleotides) under uncultured bacterium. Its description in RNAcentral is "bacterial SSU rRNA". It matches the Rfam family "Bacterial small subunit ribosomal RNA", at positions 568 to 898 of the family's 1533-position model. The record is from RNAcentral.
CACGUAGAUGGCUUUGUAAGUCGGGUGUGAAAUCCCCGGGCUCAACCUGGGAACUGCAUUCGAAACUGCAUUGCUCGAGUGUGGAAGAGGGAAGCGGAAUUCCAGGUGUAGCGGUGAAAUGCGUAGAUAUCUGGAGGAACAUCAGUGGCGAAGGCGGCUUCCUGGUCCAACACUGACAUUCAGGUGCGAAAGCGUGGGGAGCAAACAGGAUUAGAUACCCUGGUAGUCCACGCCAUAAACGAUGAGAACUAGAUGUCGGGAGGGUUAGCCUUCCGGUGUCGCAGCUAACGCGUUAAGUUCUCCGCCUGGGGAGUACGGCCGCAAGGUUGAA